This 476-nucleotide ribosomal RNA is filed under the name uncultured bacterium. RNAcentral describes it as "partial 16S ribosomal RNA". It matches the Rfam family "Bacterial small subunit ribosomal RNA", at positions 28 to 507 of the family's 1533-position model. The record is from RNAcentral.
GACGAACGCUGGCGGCGUGCUUAACACAUGCAAGUCGAACGGAAAGGCCCGGCUUUUGUGGGGUGCUCGAGUGGCGAACGGGGGAGUAACACGUGAGUAACCUGCCCUUUACGAUGGGAUAACUUCAGGAAACUGGGGUUAAAUCCGGAAAGGAAUUUCGGCUCCCGUGGGGGGAUGGGGAAGGUCGGGCUUGUCGUCAGUUAUUGAUGGCUCUGCGGCUUAUCGGCUUGUUGGUGGGUUAACGGGUUACCAAGGGUUUGCCGGGUAGCCGGCCUGAGAGGGUGACCGGCCACAUUGGGACUGAGAUACGGCCCAGACUCCUACGGGAGGCAGCAGUGGGGAAUAUUGCACAAUGGGCGGGAGCCUGAUGCAGCAACGCCGCGUGCGGGAUGACGGCCUUCGGGUUGUAAACCGCUUUCGCCUGUGCCGAAGCGUGAGUGACGGUACUGGGUAAAGAAGCACCGGCUAACUACGUG